CGGAGGGUGCGAGCGUUGUCCGGAAUCACUGGGCGUAAAGGGCGCGUAGGUGGCUUCUCAAGCGCGCGGUGAAAGCCCGGGGCUCAACCCCGGGUCGGCCGUGCGGACUGGGAGGCUCGAGCACUGUAGGGGCGGGUGGAAUUCCGGGUGUAGCGGUGGAAUGCGUAGAGAUCCGGAAGAACACCGGUGGCGAAGGCGGCCCGCUGGGCAGGAAGGCUCGCAAGAGCCGGCUGACACUGAGGCGCGACAGCGUGGGGAGCAAACAGGAUUAGAUACCCUGGUAGUCCACGCCGUAAACGAUGGGCACUAGGUGCCUGGGGGAGCGACCCCCCGGGUGCCGGCGCUAACGCAUUAAGCGCCCCGCCUGGGGAGUACGGCCGCAAGGCUG
This 388-nucleotide ribosomal RNA is filed under the name uncultured organism. RNAcentral describes it as "bacterial SSU rRNA". It matches the Rfam family "Bacterial small subunit ribosomal RNA", at positions 526 to 896 of the family's 1533-position model. The record is from RNAcentral.